This is a long non-coding RNA of Arachis stenosperma, 2257 nucleotides long. RefSeq lists it as uncharacterized. The transcript has 3 exons. NCBI's taxonomy places the organism in Eukaryota, Viridiplantae, Streptophyta, Magnoliopsida, Fabales, Fabaceae. The record is from RefSeq and is a predicted model, not a curated record.
CAGAGUUAGGGUUUUUCGAUCCGCACUCCAUUUCAGAAGGAGAUUGCUUCAAUCUCGUUGAUGCUCUCCAAGAAUUCUAAUCUCUCUCAGUUUAUCAUACCCAAAAUAAGAAAGAAAUAAAAAGAAAAAAAGGAAAAUGUUUCUUCGUCUCUCUCUAUCUCUCUCUCUCUCACUCUCGGUCGGUCGCUGAGUUGAUUAGUUUCCCUUUCAGUUCCAAUUUCAAUUCAAUUCAAUGAUCCAUUUCCAUUCAUUCAUUCAUUCUCUCGCUUUCUGGCUCUCUCUUAACUCAAAGAGGCAGUGACGAUGGUAGCGGAGUGCGGAACUAAAGGCUCCAUCGUCGUGAAGCAAUGCUCGCCGGUGGCGGGGCAACCCACCGCGGUGGAUCCUGUUGCAGCCAUCCAUGGCUGCGUUGGUUUGCGACGGCCUGGCCUCGUGUUGUAUCAAAUCUGAGCCUCCACAACCGAAACCCUAACCGGUUCUGUUUCUAUUUGGCGGCGUGCUGUUAAUGCUGUGUUUGGUAGAUACAUGUGGAGGAAGAGAUGUGAAGUGUGUUUUCCACCGAAUUCGUGCACUCUCACUCUCUUACUCCACAUGUCAUCUAACAAACACAACGUUAAUCUGAUCGAUUCUUUUUGCUUCAAAUUUUCGGCCCUAAGAUGAUGCCUUUUCAAGUUUUCCCCAUUUUUUAGUCCCCGAAAGAUGGUAUCUUUUAUUUACAUUCCAGUUUUGCCAAGUUGUUUUGUGUUAAAUGAUUGCCGUUUUGUUAAUUUGUGUUAUUGCUUCUAUCCACUUAUUUAUUAUUAAAGGCUUCAGCUUUGGUGGCUUUACUCGAAGGUUUGUAUCAAAACAUCACUUGAUUUAUAUAUAGUGUUAUAGUUCUAGAUGAUGUUCAUUCAUUUUUGUAUUAUUGUGGCCAUAGAUGUAUCUUUUGAUAAAUAAGAUUCUACUGUCUUGUGAUACUGCUGCUAUCGUUUAUGAGGAUGAUCACUUUUGUUAAUAUGCUUUGUCCCUUGUUUACAGGAUAUUGCUUCAAUUUCUGUUUUACUUCACUUUUUUUGUGAGAGAUAUUAUUACUUAUACCUAUAUGCUAUUAUUAAAAGCUGUUAGCCUUGGCUGUUAUAGUCACUCAUUCUUGAUAAAGACUAUCAGUUAUAAGAGCUUCAUAUUGACUCUAGCUUCUAUAUAUACUAGUAUAUGUUAUGGUUCAGAAUAUUAAACACUGUUCAGUUUUCUCUUAAUUUCUAUUUUAUUACUUUCACAUGGUAUCAUGAGCUUCAAUGAUCCAUGGCUGACAACACAAAGUCUGCAAGUUUUGCUGAUAGCACAGCAACGGUUGUGCAAACUUCGCCUACCAUCAUCAACGCUUCUGAAGGAAUUUUUUCUUUUAUAAAAUAUUAAAAAAUUUAAUUUCCAAAACAAUUAAAAAGACAUUAUUUUCAGGAUUAACUUUUUUUUUGUUUUGUCUUGGGAAUUACAUUUUUUUGUAUUUUAUGAAAGAAAAAGUUCCUUCACAUUUUUUAACAUGAAGACACCUUGCUACCCCCUCACAUUUUUUUUUUCUCUCCAGAUUUACCAGGAUAAGUUCGUUAUUGAGUUGCUUAUGUUCUGGCCAACGCCAUUCCAAUGAAGAUGUGGAAAUUAUACACAGGAUGGAAUAAACGGAACAUCAAAACAUGGGAACGAACAAAAAGCAUUGGGCUUUGGUUGGACAAUUUUAAUGAAGCUUACUAAGUUGAGAGUGAAAAUUGCAAUCCAUUUGGGCAAAGCAUCAAGAGAGUCAUGUUUUCUUCUAGGUGUGUUCAUAUAGUGAAGGAGACAUGGGGGGUUGAAAUGGGAGACAUGCAAUGCACUAUACCCGUUACACUUGGACUCUCGGGACAAAGUGUUGAGGCAUCACAUUUGGUUCAUAAGAAGUCUUCAUGAUACAAACUUCUUGCCUCCAUUGAUUUCCAUGAAAAUUUUUCAAUUGAGAUAACGGAUCAAAGAACUGACAUGAACAAUUCACUUGGGCUUGAUUGAGGUUCAGCUGCACAUCAAAGAAGCUGUUUCAACUGCACUAAGUGAACCUGGUAAAGUAAAUAGAAGGACACAUUUAAGGUUUCUUGUAUCCACAUUAAAUUGGGACACAUGGUCUUAUUGUGACAUCAUUGACAUGAGUUACUACAACAGGAUUAUAUGUUUGUCAAGACUGGAUGAUGUUGAUUUGAAUGUAUGUGUAAAAAUAUUUUUAUACUGAUAAUAAAUUAAAAUUAUAUUA